This 1675-nucleotide ribosomal RNA is filed under the name human oral metagenome. RNAcentral's name for it is "bacterial LSU rRNA". It matches the Rfam family "Bacterial large subunit ribosomal RNA", at positions 592 to 2323 of the family's 2925-position model. The record is from RNAcentral.
GGUGACGGCGUGCUUUUUGUAGAACGAUCCAGCGAGUUAAUUUUUACGGCGAGGUUAAGUCAGAUGAUGAAGCCAUAGUGAAAGCGAGCAUUAACAGUGCGAUUUAGUCGUAAGGAUUAGACCCGAAACCAGGUGACCUAACCAUGAGCAGGUUGAAGCAACCUUAAUCGGUUGUGGAGGACCGAACCAGUGUAUAUUGCAAAAUGCUUGGAUGACUUGUGGUUAGCGGUGAAAUGCCAAUCGAACUUGGAGAUAGCUGGUUCUCCGCGAAAUAGUUAUGGGACUAGCGUCGUGUGAUAGCUUACGGGGGUAGAGCUCUGUCAAGAGAUAGGGGGAGCAAUCCUACCUACUCUUAAUAAACUACGAAUACCGUAUGUCUGUAUCACGGCAGUUAGAACGUCGGUGCUAAGAUCGGCGCUCAAAAGGGAAACAGCCCAGACCAUCAUCUAAGGUCCCUAAAUUAACGUUCAGUGGGAAACAAGGUGAGAUUUCUUAAACAGCUAGGAUGUUGGCUUAGAAGCAGCCAUUCAUUUAAAGAGUGCGUAACAGCUCACUAGUCAAGAGAUUCUGCGUGGAAGAUAUAACGGGGCUAAGCGUAAUACCGAAGAUAUGGAUUGCAAUUUAUUGCAGUGGUAGCGGAGCGUUCCUAUCAGCAGUGAAGCCGGACUGUUAAGUACUGGUGGAGCGUUAGGAAGUGAGAAUGCUGGAACGAGUAACCAUAAGACAGGUGAGAAUCCUGUCGGCCGAAAGAGCGAGGUUUCCUGGGCUAUGGUAAUCAUCCCAGGGUUAGUCGGGCCUAAGCCGAGGCGUUUAGCGUAGGCGAUGGACAUCAGGUUAAUAUUCCUGAACUAGUCAAACUUUGUAUGCAGUUAGCGAUGAGAUAGGUGGAGCGGAUUCAUGGUUUAUCCGUUCAAGUGAUAGAGGAAUCUUGAUCGAGUAAAAGUGAACCUACGGGUUUACGAUUCCGCUGAAGGCAUUGACCAGAAAAGCUGGCAUACGCAUGGGUUUGGCUACCCGUACCGCAAACCGACACAGGUGCUCGAGUCGAGGAGACUAAGGCUUACGAGAGAAUGAUUGCUAAGGAACUCGGCAAUACAGCGACCGUAACUUCGGAAUAAGGUCUGCCUACAUUUGUAGGCCGCAGCUAAAGAGCCCACGGAACUGUUUAUCAAAAACACAGGUCUCUGCUAACACGAAAGUGGAUGUAUAGGGGCUGAAACCUGCCCGGUGCCGGAAGGUUAAGGGGAUUGCUUCACGGUGAGAACUGAAGCCCCGGUGAACGGCGGCGGUAACUAUAACCGUCCUAAGGUAGCGAAAUUCCUUGUCAGGUAAGUUCUGACCCGCACGAAUGGUUAAAUCAUGUGGGCACUGUCUCAGCAAUUAUCUCGGUGAAAAUGCAUUGGCGGUAAAGAUGCCGUCUGUCCGCACCAGGACGAAAAGACCCCGUGGAGCUUCACUACAGCUUUACAUUGUUGUGGGUUCUAACUUGUGUAGUAUAGGUGGGAGACUUUGAAGCAGAUACGCUAGUAUUUGUGGAGUCAUCAGUGAAAUACCACCCCCGUUAGGAUCUGCAUCUAACCUGUGCCGUUAUCCGGUAUAGGGACCGUGUAUGGUUGGUAGUUUAACUGGGGCGGUUGCCUCCUAAAGAGUAGCGGAGGCGUUCAAAGGUUGGCUA